UUUUACGGGAUCGAAUAAGGUUUGGUCAUUGUAUUCCCUGAAAGGAAUGAGAGGAGAAAAGAAACUGGAAGACCUGGCUAUCUGCAGGCCAAUGCUGGCUGCAGGUCAAUAUUGAAUGCUCUUAUGAAAACUCAUAAGACAAUAACAAAAAAAAAAGAAGCUGAGGAUGCUGUUUUUAAAACAUGCUCCAUUCAAAAAAGGUGGAUUUAAAUUUAAGAAAGGUGUGACGGGUGCGUCUGCUGCAGGCAGGGAGGAUUUGACGGUCAGCCAGAGGAUUUGGAGAUAUACUGUAAUGUCUUUAAUGUGGACUUGCGUGUGAUUUAGGUUUUCACAAGGGUUUUAGUGUGUGUGAAAGUAUGUCAGUUUUCAAAAUUGAGCUAUGACAAUUUGCUCAAACUACAUAACUCAAAGAACUUUGAAGCGGUCUUGUUGACGUCAUGAGCUUUUGUUUAAUACCAGUAUUGGUGAUAUAGGCCCAUGAUUAUAUACUGUAGAAAGUGAACAAGUUCACUGCUCGAUACAGAUAAUCAUAUAGCCUGAUCUCUGAAUGAUAUUUAUGAACCAAAAGAAGGCAUAAAAUAAAAACAUACUGUAGUGAUUUGAAUUAUUGAUAUUGUUAAACUAGAUCUGGGCCUGUAUUCAUAAAGGAUCUUAGUAAAAAAAUUAUCUAGAACUUAAUAUUCUUUGAACAUUCAAGUCAAAAACUUUUCACGCUCUUUAAAUAUUUCACAGCAUGACUCCAAACUUGUAUAUUAUACCAAAGAAAAAUAGAUUGGCAACUUGAAAGGCGUAUAGAGCAAAUCUCACCAACAUCACAUGGCAACUGAAUGAGGUCUCCUUUUAGUAAGCAUAUUUGAUCACAAUUGAUCAAGUCAGCAAACGCUUUGAAAUAAGAAAACUUGAUCGUUUGUGUAUAAUGCUAAUG
Molecule: long non-coding RNA, 925 nt
Organism: Mercenaria mercenaria
Lineage: Eukaryota; Metazoa; Mollusca; Bivalvia; Venerida; Veneridae
Exons: 3
Source: RefSeq, a predicted model, not a curated record